UCCGAGUUGACCCCGGCAGUCUCCUAUGAGUCCCCGCCAUAACGCGCUGGCAACAUAGAACGAGGGUUGCGCUCGUUGCGGGACUUAACCCAACAUCUCACGACACGAGCUGACGACAACCAUGCACCACCUGUAAACCGGCCCCGAAGGGAAACCGCAUUUCUGCGGCGGUCCGGUCCAUGUCAAGCCGAGGUAAGGUUCUGCGCGUUGCAUCGAAUUAAACCACACGCUCCGCUGCUUGUGCGGGCCCCCGUCAAUUCCUUUGAGUUUUAGCCUUGCGGCCGUAGUCCCCAGGCGGCGGACUUAGUGCGUUAGCUGCGACACGGAAACCGUGGAAUGGUCCCCACAUCUAGCGCCCAACGUUUACGGCGUGGACUAC
Molecule: unclassified non-coding RNA, 379 nt
Filed under: uncultured Micrococcales bacterium
Lineage: Bacteria; Bacillati; Actinomycetota; Actinomycetes; Micrococcales
Description: contains 16S-23S intergenic spacer region
Source: RNAcentral